GUCCACGCCGUAAACGAUGGAUGCUAGCCGUUGGCGGGUUUACUCGUCAGUGGCGCAGCUAACGCAUUAAGCAUCCCGCCUGGGGAGUACGGUCGCAAGAUUAAAACUCAAAGGAAUUGACGGGGGCCCGCACAAGCGGUGGAGCAUGUGGUUCAAUUCGAAGCAACGCGAAGAACCUUACCAGCCUUUGACAUGCCUCGUAUGGUCGCCAGAGAUGGCUUCCUUCCCGCAAGGGGCGAGAGCACAGGUGCUGCAUGGCUGUCGU
Molecule: ribosomal RNA, 265 nt
Filed under: uncultured bacterium
Lineage: Bacteria
Description: partial 16S ribosomal RNA
Rfam family: Bacterial small subunit ribosomal RNA
Source: RNAcentral